Cydia pomonella (codling moth) is the source of this 1213-nucleotide long non-coding RNA. RefSeq lists it as uncharacterized. The record is from RefSeq and is a predicted model, not a curated record. The transcript has 3 exons. NCBI's taxonomy places the organism in Eukaryota, Metazoa, Arthropoda, Insecta, Lepidoptera, Tortricidae.
ACUUGUUGACGCGUGACCAAAAGUAGUAACAAAGUUACUGGAUUUACAAAAUGGCUCCUUGUGUUCAUUUGUUUUCAGAUAUUCUUAAAGUGUUUUAGAGCCAUGCCGUGGUCAGUGGUCUCAACUGACGAAAAUUAUGAAAAAUGAUUUCGUUGGUACGCAGUUGCUGGGUACUCAAAAAUAAUAUAUUAUUAUUGCCCACAGGAAAGAUCUUGCCAAUUUCUACAGAAUACAAAGGAAAAAACCGGCCAAGUGCGAGUGGGACUCCCACAGGAAGGGUUCCGUAAUAAUGACGCGGGAGUUUAUUUAAGUUUUGUCAUUUGUAUUGCGGAUUAAUUCGUGACAACGUGCUUAUGCUAUUGAGGCGUUUCAUCCCAGAAGAUUUUCACUCAGUAGUACCGCAAGGCGUAGAAUUAAUUUCGGAAUAUGCGGAAAAGUUUAGAGACGAAGGUCGUCAUUCAGAAAAUGUGAUAUUCAACAUAAGAAAUUAUUAUUACCUACCUAUUAUUAUUAUAAAAACAACUGCUUUUCUAGUGAAAACCGACAACUGAUCUCUGAAAUCUGCCGCCGGAUAGCUGAUCUCCAAACGUCUCCUGAGCUGCAGGCAGCAGAAGUAGACAUCAUCGACUCGGGAGUCUGCGACCAGCUUCUGCGUCCAUCUUGCAGCAGAAAUUGGUGCGGUCUGCAGAACGGACAGAUGUGCGCUGGCAAGCUUGCUGGCGGGGUUGACUCAUACCAGGUGAUCUAUGCUAUCGGCUAAUAAUAAUAACAUCUUAACCGUCAUAUGAUAAAUUUUCAAUCGGGCUGCAAUGAUAAUUUUUUUUACGUGUUUAGGUGGCUGCCGUUUCUCAACCCACCAACGGAACGGCAGCUGACGUCCACGAGGGUACAUUACACAUCGCUCUUAACCACUUAAUUAAUGUUAAUGGAAAUCUGUUCUCGAACGAACGAAUUGUCUCGCAGAAGGCCCUCUGGUGAUACUUACCUAUUAUUUUUUUCAUUGCUACCUCAGGGUGACUCCGGCGGUCCCCUCCAAGUGAGGGUCCCUGGUGCCUUGGUCCCGGGGCAAGGCACGCUGCACUAUGUGAUCGGCGUGACUUCCUUCGGGAAUGCGUGCGCGCGCUCGAACAAGCCCGGAGUCUAUACCAGAGUGGCGCAGUAUAUCGACUGGAUCGAGGGGAUUGUGUGGAAAUAAAAUAACGUGAAAAUGUCA